GGCUGGCUAGCUCAGCUGGUUAGAGCGUGGUGCUAAUAAUGCCAAGGUUGUGGAUUUAAGCCCCAUACUGGCCA
RNAcentral lists this transfer RNA (74 nucleotides) under Chrysemys picta bellii (western painted turtle). Its description in RNAcentral is "tRNA-Ile (AAT) (tRNA-Ile-AAT-6-1)". It matches the Rfam family "tRNA". Rfam says of the family: Transfer RNA (tRNA) molecules are approximately 80 nucleotides in length. Their secondary structure includes four short double-helical elements and three loops (D, anti-codon, and T loops). The record is from Rfam by way of RNAcentral. Lineage: Eukaryota; Metazoa; Chordata; Testudines; Emydidae.